RNAcentral lists this ribosomal RNA (235 nucleotides) under uncultured bacterium. RNAcentral describes it as "partial 16S ribosomal RNA". It matches the Rfam family "Bacterial small subunit ribosomal RNA", at positions 334 to 585 of the family's 1533-position model. The record is from RNAcentral.
GAGCCCUACGGGAGGCAGCAGUGGGGAAUAUUGCACAAUGGGGGGAAACCCUGAUGCAGCGACGCCGCGUGAGUGAUGACGGCCUUCGGGUUGUAAAGCUCUGUCUUCAGGGACGAUAAUGACGGUACCUGAGGAGGAAGCCACGGCUAACUACGUGCCAGCAGCCGCGGUAAUACGUAGGGGGCAAGCGUUAUCCGGAUUUACUGGGUGUAAAGGGAGCGUAGGCGGUUUAGCA